CCUACGGGAGGCAGCAGUGGGGAAUCUUGGGCAAUGGGCGCAAGCCUGACCCAGCAAUGCCGCGUGAAGGAAGAAGGCUUUCGGGUUGUAAACUUCUUUGACAGGGGAAGAGCAGAAGACGGUACCCUGAAAACAAGCCACGGCUAACUACGUGCCAGCAGCCGCGGUAAUACGUAGGUGGCAAGCGUUGUCCGGAUUUACUGGGUGUAAAGGGCGUGUAGCCGGGAAGGCAAGUCAGAUGUGAAAUCUGGAGGCUCAACCUCCAAAUUGCAUUUGAAACUGUUUUUCUUGAGUACUGGAGAGGCAGACGGAAUUCCUUGUGUAGCGGUGAAAUGCGUAGAUAUAAGGAGGAACACCAGUGGCGAAGGCGGUCUGCUGGACAGCAACUGACGGUGAGGCGCGAAAGCGUGGGGAGCAAACAGGAGUAGAUACCCCAGUAGUC
RNAcentral lists this ribosomal RNA (442 nucleotides) under uncultured bacterium. Its description in RNAcentral is "partial 16S ribosomal RNA". It matches the Rfam family "Bacterial small subunit ribosomal RNA", at positions 338 to 795 of the family's 1533-position model. The record is from RNAcentral.